AGAGUUUGAUCAUGGCUCAGAUUGAACGCUGGCGGCAGGCCUAACACAUGCAAGUCGAGCGGCAGCGGGAAAGUAGCUUGCUACUUUUGCCGGCGAGCGGCGUGAC
RNAcentral lists this ribosomal RNA (106 nucleotides) under uncultured Gammaproteobacteria bacterium. RNAcentral describes it as "partial 16S ribosomal RNA". It matches the Rfam family "Bacterial small subunit ribosomal RNA", at positions 8 to 104 of the family's 1533-position model. Lineage: Bacteria; Pseudomonadati; Pseudomonadota; Gammaproteobacteria. The record is from RNAcentral.